Hippocampus comes (tiger tail seahorse) is the source of this 568-nucleotide long non-coding RNA. RefSeq lists it as uncharacterized. The transcript is spliced from 2 exons. NCBI's taxonomy places the organism in Eukaryota, Metazoa, Chordata, Actinopteri, Syngnathiformes, Syngnathidae. The record is from RefSeq and is a predicted model, not a curated record.
UGAUACCGCUUUUGACAGUUGCUAACAAGUCCCAAGGCUGUCCGUCUUACGGUUUUGUCCUAUGUGAAAGGUACGGAGUGUUUAAGUCAAUCCCAUAAAUUUGCUACUUUACAUUUAAUUAAGCUCUACAAGGUGUUUCUUUUGGGUAUUAAGAGUCACCAGCUCCUUCGUCCUGCGUGAAAAGGUAACGAUACAGAAUGGGCUGGUUGAGCCGCAAAUUGGUCUCUCCACAUGCCACAUGUGAAAUGUCACACGCCCCGUCCACGCUGCUUAUCGAUGCCAUGUUCUUCAUUGCUCUUGACUCGGAAUUGAGGGGUUCGAGUUGUUUGCGUUAAAACUUUCAGACCGCCCAUCAAAAACUUUAUCCAUCUGUCCUGUGGGAAAAGCGUGCAGAUCACGCGCAACCAGAGAAGUUAGGUGUCUUUUUUUAUAUUUGAUAUAUAUAUAGCCUUCCGCACACGCUGAAUUGAGACACGGCGUUAAAGAGAGCUUGGAUACACAAAGUAACCAUGAGGAGGCAGGGGUUCAUAGGUGGGGUUGGUAUGAUAUGAAUUGUUUGGGGGUGGGG